AUUUAGCUUUAGGAGCUGUGAUUAUUUUGUAUCGUCGCUGUUAAUAUGCGAUGGAUAUCCAGAUUAGUGUAGGAUGAGUUUACGCUCGUGCUGGGAUGCCAUGUUUACUUUUACAGUAGAGUGUAGACUGUUUCAAACUGUCGGGUGCCGUCGCGGUUGACGGUGAACCCGGAUUUCUGUUUUGCAUCAGAUUGUGCCAGGGGCACGUGAGAUU
Molecule: long non-coding RNA, 214 nt
Filed under: Ananas comosus (pineapple)
Lineage: Eukaryota; Viridiplantae; Streptophyta; Magnoliopsida; Poales; Bromeliaceae
Description: long non-coding RNA (ACOM_LNC037211)
Source: RNAcentral